UUGUAGGGUCGAAUUAGCGAGUUUACGAGAGAAUACAAAGGUACUUCGAAGGUACAAGUUGUGUUCGUGGAGACCUAACCCAGACCUUAGAAUGGUAGAAUUUUCUGUCAUUUAAUUUACUGGUUUGUUCGCCCUACUUCCAGUCAAAAACACGAAAGGGUAUUCUCGUAAACUUCUAUUUUGCGGAUUCUUCCUGAAGGUAAAGAUUAUCUUGCUCUUCCUCACUAAAAUGCAUUAUUU
This 240-nucleotide non-coding RNA is filed under the name Sphecodes monilicornis. The record is from RNAcentral. Lineage: Eukaryota; Metazoa; Arthropoda; Insecta; Hymenoptera; Halictidae.